RNAcentral lists this unclassified non-coding RNA (197 nucleotides) under plant metagenome. Its description in RNAcentral is "partial contains small subunit ribosomal RNA, internal transcribed spacer 1, and 5.8S ribosomal RNA". The record is from RNAcentral.
UCUCCGUUGGUGAACCAGCGGAGGGAUCAUUACCGAGUGCAAACUCAUAACCCUUUGUGAACCAAUAUCUGUUGCUUCGGCGGCUCGCUCUCGGGCGAGCCCGCCGGUAAUAUUAGUAUCUCUGUUUGAACCCGACGAUACUUCUGAGUGUUCUUAGCGAACAGUUAAAACUUUUAACAACGGAUCUCUUGGCUCUA